Molecule: ribosomal RNA, 482 nt
Filed under: uncultured bacterium
Lineage: Bacteria
Description: partial 16S ribosomal RNA
Rfam family: Bacterial small subunit ribosomal RNA
Source: RNAcentral
AUUGAACGCUGGCGGCAUGAUUUACACAUGCAAGUCGAACGGUAACAGGCCGCAAGGUGCUGACGAGUGGCGAACGGGUGAGUAAUGCAUCGGAACGUGCCCAGUCGUGGGGGAUAACUACUCGAAAGAGUAGCUAAUACCACAUACGAUCUAUGGAUGAAAGCGGGGGACCGUAAGGCCUCGCGCGAUUGGAGCGGCCGAUGUCAGAUUAGGUAGUUGGUGGGGUAAAGGCUCACCAAGCCAACGAUCUGUAGCUGGUCUGAGAGGACGACCAGCCACACUGGGACUGAGACACGGCCCAGACUCCUACGGGAGGCAGCAGUGGGGAAUUUUGGACAAUGGGCGCAAGCCUGAUCCAGCAAUGCCGCGUGCAGGAAGAAGGCCUUCGGGUUGUAAACUGCUUUUGUACGGAACGAAACGGCUCUGGUUAAUACCCGGGGCUAAUGACGGUACCGUAAGAAUAAGCACCGGCUAACUACGUG